GACGAACGCUGGCGGCGUGCCUAAUACAUGCAAGUAGAACGCUGAAGCGAGGAGCUUGCUCUUCUUGGAUGAGUUGCGAACGGGUGAGUAACGCGUAGGUAACCUGCCUUUUAGCGGGGGAUAACUAUUGGAAACGAUAGCUAAUACCGCAUAACAAUAGGUGACACAUGUCAUUUAUUUGAAAGGGGCAAUUGCUCCACUACAAGAUGGACCUGCGUUGUAUUAGCUAGUAGGUGAGGUAACGGCUCACCUAGGCGACGAUACAUAGCCGACCUGAGAGGGUGGUCGGCCACCCUGGGACUGAGACACGGCCCAGAAUCCUACGGGAGGCAGCAGUAGGGAAUCUUCGGACAUGGGGGCAAACCUGACCGAGCAAAGCCGCGUGAGUGAAAAAGGUUUUCGGAUCGUAAAGCUCUGUUGUAAGUCAAGAACGAGUGUGAGAGUGGAAAGUUCACACUGUGACGGUAGCUUAACAGAAAGGAACGGCUAACUACGUG
RNAcentral lists this ribosomal RNA (497 nucleotides) under uncultured bacterium. RNAcentral's name for it is "partial 16S ribosomal RNA". It matches the Rfam family "Bacterial small subunit ribosomal RNA", at positions 28 to 507 of the family's 1533-position model. The record is from RNAcentral.